RNAcentral lists this long non-coding RNA (1136 nucleotides) under Anser brachyrhynchus (Pink-footed goose). Its description in RNAcentral is "lncRNA (ENSABRG00000005109.1)". Lineage: Eukaryota; Metazoa; Chordata; Aves; Anseriformes; Anatidae. The record is from RNAcentral.
CAAUGCCCUGAUAGAAGUCUUCAAAACAAGCAGUGCAGUGUUGUGAGAGACAGACUCCUGGGGUCUCCUGCUGCUUCCCGGGGUCUGUCCCUGGACCUUAACCCUUGUGCUCCAUCACCCGUCCCCAUCCCUCUGUGACCAGGCUGGAAGCAGUGCAGCCACAGGAAAGGAUAAUAUGCUUCAGGAAAAAGGAAAAGCAGCAAAAGGAUGUAAUGGACAAAAUCAACUGGUUUCUGGGUGGAUCUUUUCCUUCAACCGAGACACGUUAGCACAGCCAGGACCGUGUCGGUGCUCCCAGCUGCAGGAGGUGUGCUCAGCAGACGGACGGAGCGAGGGCAGGCAGGGAUCCGCAGCAGCGCCUGUGCCGGGAUGGCAGGGCUCUCUUGAAUGAAGCCAUAUGUUGUACUCGCGGGGGACGAGAGGCGGCUUGGUCUCGGCUUGGAGAAACAUGGAAGUGUUGAGAAGAUAGACCUGAGUCAAGUUCAGGGUUUCAGCAGUUUUCAGCUCUACUCUCCUUUCUCCUUCAGAUUUUAGAAGACAAGACAUGCUGCAAGAGCAAACAGGAUUGUUUUUUUUUUUUGCAUCAUAUCAUUUACCAAGCAGUUAAACCCCCACAGAUUUUUAGGCUGCUGCCGUACUUUUUUCCGCACUUCAAAGGAUUAAAAUUGAACACGUUCCAAGUGAAAAGUAACAGCCCAAACUGACAAAUCAAACUAGAUGUAACCCUGUGUUUCAUUAUUAAAGCUUGAUGUGUUCAGGCUCAGUCUCCCUGGCACAGGGAGGCUCGUCCUGCCUCCCUGUCCGAGGAGGAGCUCGGACGUCUCUCCGUACCCACAGCCGUGGGCUCGUGGCAAGUCUCCUGCAACACCUACCAGCUCAAGCCUUGUUUGGGCCGUUCCUCGUCUCUUUCAUGAUGAGGCACUGGACAAGCAAGUGUUACGUCCAUCAGUGAGAGGGCAUUACCUGUAGGAGAAGGCUGACAUCUCUCCUGGUUUUAGAGGCAUCUGUGGUGCCUCCUGCAGGGGCGGCCUCCAGGCUGGCUGUGGCAUGGCGUUAGAGGUGACACAGCUGUAACCUCCGGCAGCUGCCAGCCCUUCUUGGCCAAAUAAAGUGACUGUUUAAGCCUACCUCUGUCA